RNAcentral lists this ribosomal RNA (685 nucleotides) under uncultured bacterium. Its description in RNAcentral is "bacterial SSU rRNA". It matches the Rfam family "Bacterial small subunit ribosomal RNA", at positions 233 to 909 of the family's 1533-position model. The record is from RNAcentral.
GCGUUACAUUAGCUUGUUGGUGAGGUAAAAGCUCACCAAGGCGACGAUGUAUAGCUGAUCUGAGAGGAUGAUCAGCCACACUGGAACUGAGACACGGUCCAGACUCCUACGGGAGGCAGCAGUGAGGAAUAUUCGACAAUGGAGGAAACUCUGAUCGAGCCAUGCCGCGUGUGUGAAGAAGGCCUGCGGGUUGUAAAGCACUUUCAGUAGAGAAGAAAAGCUUAGGGUUAAUACCCCUGAGUCUUGACGUAACCUACAGAAGAAGCACCGGCUAACUCCGUGCCAGCAGCCGCGGUAAUACGGAGGGUGCGAGCGUUAAUCGGAAUUACUGGGCGUAAAGCGCGCGUAGGCGGUCUGGUCAGUCGGAUGUGAAAGCCCCGGGCUUAACCUGGGAAUUGCAUUCGAUACUGCCAAGCUAGAAUGUUGGAGAGGGAAGUGGAAUUUCCGGUGUAGCGGUGAAAUGCGUAGAUAUCGGAAGGAACACCAGUGGCGAAGGCGGCUUCCUGGCCAAACAUUGACGCUGAGGUGCGAAAGCGUGGGUAGCGAACAGGAUUAGAUACCCUGGUAGUCCGCGCCGUAAACGAUGAGAACUAGUUGUCGGGAGGGUUUAGCCUCUCGGUGACGCAGCUAACGCGUUAAGUUCUCCGCCUGGGGAGUACGGUGGCAACACUAAAACUCAAAGGAA